UUUGGUGCUUUGCUCUUAGUUACAUUAUUGUGUUGUUUUAGUUGAUUUCUUUGCAUUGAGGAACAUCUCUGAGAAGUGGAGCAUUGACGGGCAAGUAUCCUUGAACAUCUUUCUAUUUUAUACCUUUACUUUUUAUACAUUAUGCCACAUUUUAUCUUUAUGCUUUCUGCAUUUAGGAGUCAACCAUGGGAAUCCUAUAUAGGAGACUACUAGAAUUUCAUGAUCAUUCCUUGUUACUCUUAGAGGUUCCCUUUUAUGGGUAGUUAUGCUUAGCUUUGCUCAACAUGGGUUGGUUGGUUAUAAUUAAUCCUAAUUAAUGGAACUAUGCAACAUAUGGGUUUUGGUAAUCCUUUUAGAAGCAUGGAACUCUAGGCGGCUCAGAUAAGUGGGAAAGAUGUUUGGUUUUUGAGGAAUGUUAUGUUUGUUUUAUUUGAGCUGAGCUUAAGGAUUGAUCUAUGGAGCGACCACCCAGGAUGAACAGUACAACCACAAGAAUCGGAUGGGAAAUGGUCUUGGCAAAUUAAGUAGGGUAAAUCGGGAAAUCCAUCGGCCUACGUUAGGCUGUUGGUGCAGUGAGGGUGGCUUAGUUCCCCAAAAGUUUGAUGGCACUAUGAUGGGUACAUGAACCUAGAGUGGGUUGACGCGUCGCUGAUGAACCUAUGUAAAGGUCUCACUAGUGAAUGGUGACAUGACUUGCGGGUAGAGAUGUACAACCUUUGUAGAGUGUGAAACUAUUAUAACAGCUACGGUCAUGAUCAAAAGUGGUUUGGACCCUCACAUGGUUAGUUUGGUUGGGUGAAUCACAGUGGUGGUAUUCUGUGGUUUGCUUUAGUUGUAAGUGGUUUAACCUUAAGGUGGUUGUGGUUUGGGAAGCUUUAUAAUAUUAAUAUCUCUAGGUGCUUAAUUAAAAUAUGACCAACUAAAAUAUUAGCUUGUAGUUCACCAAAUAAAGCCUCCAAAUAUAAUUUCAUAUAAUUUCAUCCACUUACCGAAUACACGCCUCCGAGUAUACUCACCGUUUCACCUCAACCCAUGUUGUUCUUCC
This 1045-nucleotide long non-coding RNA is filed under the name Setaria viridis. RNAcentral's name for it is "long non-coding RNA (SVIR_LNC001815)". The record is from RNAcentral. Lineage: Eukaryota; Viridiplantae; Streptophyta; Magnoliopsida; Poales; Poaceae.